GGCCGCGGUAUUCUGACCGUGCAAAGGUAGCGCAAUCACUUGUCUUUUAAAUGAAGACCUGUAUGAAUGGCAUGACGAGGGCUUUACUGUCUCCUCUUUCUAGUCCAUGAAAUUGAUCUUUCCGUGCAGAAGCGGGAAUAUCAACAUAAGACGAGAAGACCCUGUGGAGCUUUAGACUCUAAGCAGCCCCAGUAAAAAAGCCCCAUUAACGGCUUAUAACCCUGCCUUACUGUCUUUGGUUGGGGUGACCGCGGAGAAUUACUAAACCUCCAUGUGGAACGAACUAAUCUUUUAUAACUCAGGGUGGCAACCCCAAGUAACAGGAUUUCUGACCAGAUAUGAUCCGGUAAGACCGAUCAACGAACCGAGUUACCCCAGGGAUAACAGCGCAAUCCCCUUUUAGAGCCCGUAUCGACAAG
This 419-nucleotide ribosomal RNA is filed under the name Tripterygion tripteronotum. RNAcentral describes it as "16S ribosomal RNA". It matches the Rfam family "Bacterial large subunit ribosomal RNA", at positions 1929 to 2512 of the family's 2925-position model. Lineage: Eukaryota; Metazoa; Chordata; Actinopteri; Blenniiformes; Tripterygiidae. The record is from RNAcentral.